This 253-nucleotide ribosomal RNA is filed under the name uncultured bacterium. Its description in RNAcentral is "partial 16S ribosomal RNA". It matches the Rfam family "Bacterial small subunit ribosomal RNA", at positions 524 to 776 of the family's 1533-position model. The record is from RNAcentral.
UACAGAGGGUGCAAGCGUUGUUCGGAAUUAUUGGGCGUAAAGAGCUCGUAGGCGGCUUGUCGCGUCGACUGUGAAAACCCGAGGCUCAACUUCGGGCUUGCAGUCGAUACGGGCAGGCUAGAGUUCGGUAGGGGAGACUGGAAUUCCUGGUGUAGCGGUGAAAUGCGCAGAUAUCAGGAGGAACACCGAUGGCGAAGGCAGGUCUCUGGGCCGAUACUGACGCUGAGGAGCGAAAGCGUGGGGAGCGAACAGG